UGGGGAAUAUUGCACAAUGGGCGCAAGCCUGAUGCAGCGACGCCGCGUGAGGGAUGACGGCCUUCGGGUUGUAAACCUCUUUCAGCAGGGAAGAAGCGCAAGUGACGGUACCUGCAGAAGAAGCGCCGGCUAACUACGUGCCAGCAGCCGCGGUAAUACGUAGGGCGCAAGCGUUGUCCGGAAUUAUUGGGCGUAAAGAGCUCGUAGGCGGCUUGUCACGUCGGGUGUGAAAGCCCGGGGCUUAACCCCGGGUCUGCAUCCGAUACGGGCAGGCUAGAGUGUGGUAGGGGAGAUCGGAAUUCCUGGUGUAGCGGUGAAAUGCGCAGAUAUCAGGAGGAACACCGGUGGCGAAGGCGGAUCUCUGGGCCAUUACUGACGCUGAGGAGCGAAAGCGUGGGGAGCGAACAGGAUUAGAUACCCUGGUAGUCCACGCCGUAAACGUUGGGAACUAGGUGUUGGCGACAUUCCACGUCGUCGGUGCCGCAGCUAACGCAUUAAGUUCCCCGCCUGGGGAGUACGGCCGCAAGGCUA
RNAcentral lists this ribosomal RNA (531 nucleotides) under soil bacterium LP-P1-16. RNAcentral describes it as "bacterial SSU rRNA". It matches the Rfam family "Bacterial small subunit ribosomal RNA", at positions 355 to 896 of the family's 1533-position model. The record is from RNAcentral.